Molecule: ribosomal RNA, 253 nt
Filed under: uncultured bacterium
Lineage: Bacteria
Description: partial 16S ribosomal RNA
Rfam family: Bacterial small subunit ribosomal RNA
Source: RNAcentral
UACGUAGGUGACAAGCGUUGUCCGGAUUUACUGGGCGUAAAGAGCGCGCAGGCGGUCGAUCAAGUCGAGUGUGAAAGCCCCCGGCUCAACUGGGGAGGGUCAUUCGAUACUGAUCGACUCGAAGGCAGGAGAGGGUAGAGGAAUUCCCGGUGUAGUGGUGAAAUGCGUAGAUAUCGGGAGGAACACCAGUGGCGAAGGCGACUACCUGGCCUGUUCUUGACGCUGAGGCGCGAAAGCUAGGGGAGCAAACGGG